GGCCGGCUGGCCUAAUGGUUAAGGCGUCAGUUUCCGGUGGAGCUAUUAGCUGAAGAUUCGGGGUUCGAAUCCCCGGUUGGUCG
Amylocystis lapponica is the source of this 83-nucleotide non-coding RNA. The record is from the annotation of a GenBank genome assembly. NCBI's taxonomy places the organism in Eukaryota, Fungi, Basidiomycota, Agaricomycetes, Polyporales, Postiaceae.